UCCGCCCAUAUCGGCUUGAAACACUGGAUCUCGUACAAUCAGCGAAGUUAAACAAGGCCGAGCCUGAUCAGUACCUCGAUGGGUGACCGCUUUGGAAUAUCAGGUGCUGUAAG
Molecule: non-coding RNA, 113 nt
Organism: Acanthosepion pharaonis
Lineage: Eukaryota; Metazoa; Mollusca; Cephalopoda; Sepiida; Sepiidae
Source: the annotation of a GenBank genome assembly